This 397-nucleotide ribosomal RNA is filed under the name uncultured bacterium. Its description in RNAcentral is "partial 16S ribosomal RNA". It matches the Rfam family "Bacterial small subunit ribosomal RNA", at positions 523 to 918 of the family's 1533-position model. The record is from RNAcentral.
AUACGAAGGGUGCAAGCGUUAAUCGGACUUACUGGGCGUAAAGCGCGCGCAGGCGGUCCUUUAAGUCUGAUGUGAAAGCCCACGGCUCAACCGUGGAGGGUCCUUGGAAACUGGGGGACUUGAGUGCAGAAGAGGAAAGUGGAAUUCCACGUGUAGCGGUGAAAUGGGUAGAGAUUUGGAGGAACACCAGUGGCGAAGGCGACUUGCUGGUCGGUAACUGACGCUGAGGCACGAAAGCGUGGGGAGCAAACAGGAUGAGAAACCCUGGGAGUCCACGCCGUAAACGAUGAGUGCUAAGUGUUGGGGGGUUUCCGCCCCUCAGUGCUGCAGCUAACGCAUUAAGCACUCCGCCUGGGGAGUACGGUCGCAAGACUGAAACUCAAAUGAAUUGGCGGGU